GGAAUCUUCCACAAUGGGCGCAAGCCUGAUGGAGCAACACCGCGUGAGUGAAGAAGGGUUUCGGCUCGUAAAGCUCUGUUGUUAAAGAAGAACACGUAUGAGAGUAACUGUUCAUACGUUGACGGUAUUUAACCAGAAAGUCACGGCUAACUACGUGCCAA
Molecule: ribosomal RNA, 161 nt
Filed under: uncultured bacterium
Lineage: Bacteria
Description: partial 16S ribosomal RNA
Rfam family: Bacterial small subunit ribosomal RNA
Source: RNAcentral